CUUCUGAUUGACUAUCAGUUCACAUUCAGCCUCAUUCAGGAAGAUGAUCGUCACCACACAGCCAUCAACUUCAUCGCCAACCCCGAGCAGUCAAAUAAGAAUUUGGACAUUUCCAUCAAUGCCUCCAACAACUUUAACCUCAACAUCACCUGGUCUAUCGGCUCCACAGCCGGUACGAUAUCUGGAGAAGAGGUCCCGCUGGUCGCCAAGACUCACACUAAGGAAUAUCGGGAUAGUUUCUCCUGCGAGAAGUUCAACUUCAGAAGCAAUCCCAACAUCACGUUCUACGUCUACGUCAGCAACUUCUCCUGGCCCAUCAAGAUA
This is a long non-coding RNA of Pseudophryne corroboree (corroboree frog), 324 nucleotides long. RefSeq lists it as uncharacterized. The record is from RefSeq and is a predicted model, not a curated record. Lineage: Eukaryota; Metazoa; Chordata; Amphibia; Anura; Myobatrachidae. The transcript has 3 exons.